This 253-nucleotide ribosomal RNA is filed under the name uncultured bacterium. Its description in RNAcentral is "partial 16S ribosomal RNA". It matches the Rfam family "Bacterial small subunit ribosomal RNA", at positions 524 to 776 of the family's 1533-position model. The record is from RNAcentral.
GACGUAGGAUGCGAGCGUUGUUCGGAAUUAUUGGGCGUAAAGCGUGCGUAGGCGGUCAUUCAAGUCUGGUGUUAAAGCUAGAGGCUCAACCUCUGUGAUGCACUGGAAACUGGAUGACUUGAGUGCGGUAGGGGAAGGUAGAAUUCCGAGUGUAGCGGUGAAAUGCGUAGAUAUUCGGAAGAAUACCGGUGGCGAAGGCGACCUUCUGGGCCGCAACUGACGCUGAGGCACGAAAGCGUGGGGAGCAAACGGG